AGAAUCAACGCUGGCGGCGUGCCUAACACAUGCAAGUCGAACGGGAAAGUGGAGCAAUCCAUGAGUAUAGUGGCGACCGGGUGAGUAACACGUGACUAACCUACCUUCAAGUGGGGGAUAACCUCGGGAAACCGGGGCUAAUACCGCAUAAUAUCUCUGUCAUGAGAAAGCAGAGAUCAAAGGAGCAAUUCGCUGGAAGAGGGGGUCGCGGCUGAUUAGCUAGUUGGUGGGUAAUGGCCCACCAAGGCUUUGAUCGGUAGCCGGCCUGAGAGGGGCGCGACGGACGACGACUGGAACUGAAACACGGUCCAGACUCCUACGGGAGGCAGCAGUGGGGAAUUUUGCGCAAUGGGGGAAACCCUGACGCAGCAACGCCGCGUGGAGGAUGAAGUCCCUUGGGACGUAAACUCCUUUCGAUCGGGACGAUAAUGACGGUACCGAGAGAAGAAGCCCGGCUAACUUCGUGCCAGCAGCCGC
Molecule: ribosomal RNA, 477 nt
Filed under: uncultured bacterium
Lineage: Bacteria
Description: SSU rRNA
Rfam family: Bacterial small subunit ribosomal RNA
Source: RNAcentral